AACGAACGCUGGCGGCAUGCCUAACACAUGCAAGUCGAACGAGACCUUCGGGUCUAGUGGCGCACGGGUGCGUAACGCGUGGGAAUCUGCCCUUGGGUUCGGAAUAACAGCGAGAAAUUGCUGCUAAUACCGGAUGAUGACGUAAGUCCAAAGAUUUAUCGCCCAAGGAUGAGCCCGCGUAGGAUUAGCUAGUUGGUGAGGUAAAGGCUCACCAAGGCGACGAUCCUUAGCUGGUCUGAGAGGAUGAUCAGCCACACUGGGACUGAGACACGGCCCAGACUCCUACGGGAGGCAGCAGUGGGGAAUAUUGGACAAUGGGCGAAAGCCUGAUCCAGCAAUGCCGCGUGAGUGAUGAAGGCCUUAGGUUGUAAAGCUCUUUUACCCGGGAUGAUAAUGACAGUACCGGGAGAAUAACGCCCCGGCUAACUCCGUGCCAGCAGCC
This 442-nucleotide ribosomal RNA is filed under the name uncultured bacterium. RNAcentral's name for it is "bacterial SSU rRNA". It matches the Rfam family "Bacterial small subunit ribosomal RNA", at positions 29 to 516 of the family's 1533-position model. The record is from RNAcentral.